GGGCUAUUAGCUCAGUGGUAGAGCGCGCCCCUGAUAAUUUACUUCACGGGCGAGGUCUCUGGUUCAAGUCCAGGAUGGCCCA
Molecule: transfer RNA, 82 nt
Filed under: Angelica megaphylla
Lineage: Eukaryota; Viridiplantae; Streptophyta; Magnoliopsida; Apiales; Apiaceae
Also listed under: 2 other names
Description: tRNA-Ile
Rfam family: tRNA
About the family: Transfer RNA (tRNA) molecules are approximately 80 nucleotides in length. Their secondary structure includes four short double-helical elements and three loops (D, anti-codon, and T loops).
Source: RNAcentral